CCUACGGGGUGCAGCAGUGGGGAAUAUUGGACAAUGGGCGAAAGCCUGAUCCAGCCAUGCCGCGUGUGUGAAGAAGGCCUUCGGGUUGUAAAGCACUUUCAGUGGGGAAGAAAGCCUUGGGGCUAAUACCCUCGAGGAAGGACAUCACCCACAGAAGAAGCACCGGCUAACUCCGUGCCAGCAGCCGCGGUAAUACGGAGGGUGCGAGCGUUAAUCGGAAUUACUGGGCGGAAAGCGCGCGUAGGCGGUCUGAUAAGCCGGUUGUGAAAGCCCCGGGCUCAACCUGGGAACGGCAUCCGGAACUGUCAGGCUAGAGUGCAGGAGAGGAAGGUAGAAUUCCCGGUGUAGCGGUGAAAUGCGUAGAGAUCGGGAGGAAUACCAGUGGCGAAGGCGGCCUUCUGGACUGACACUGACGCUGAGGUGCGAAAGCGUGGGUAGCAAACAGGAUUAGAUACCCCUGUAGUC
This 465-nucleotide ribosomal RNA is filed under the name Vreelandella stevensii. RNAcentral's name for it is "partial 16S ribosomal RNA". It matches the Rfam family "Bacterial small subunit ribosomal RNA", at positions 338 to 795 of the family's 1533-position model. Lineage: Bacteria; Pseudomonadati; Pseudomonadota; Gammaproteobacteria; Oceanospirillales; Halomonadaceae. The record is from RNAcentral.